RNAcentral lists this long non-coding RNA (292 nucleotides) under Lathyrus oleraceus (garden pea). RNAcentral's name for it is "Pisum sativum (pea) long non-coding RNA (PSAT_LNC005000)". The record is from RNAcentral. Lineage: Eukaryota; Viridiplantae; Streptophyta; Magnoliopsida; Fabales; Fabaceae.
UUUUCCACGAUAUACUCUUUGGUGGUUUUUAGAUUUGAAAGUUUUGAGUAAUGUUUAGAAAAUUUUGGUGUAGGUGGUUAAUGUUUCAAAUGCCUCUGAUGAAUGUAUUGAAGGUGGUGGCUCUAAGUUUUUUUUGAAUGAUUUCUUAGCAUGUUUCUCACUGUUAUGUGUUCCUCCUCCCCCUUUUUGAUUUGCCCAACUAUGUUCUUAUAUCUUGAUGAAGAUAGGGUAUGCUGAGGGAUUUCAUUCUUUGUCUUUGUAAAGAUGGUAAUGGAUUUGAUUAACUUUACAA